RNAcentral lists this ribosomal RNA (497 nucleotides) under uncultured bacterium. Its description in RNAcentral is "partial 16S ribosomal RNA". It matches the Rfam family "Bacterial small subunit ribosomal RNA", at positions 28 to 507 of the family's 1533-position model. The record is from RNAcentral.
GAUGAACGCUGGCGGCGUGCCUAAUACAUGCAAGUCGAGCGAACGGACUAGAAGCUUGCUUCUCUUAUGUUAGCGGCGGACGGGUGAGUAACACGUGGAUAACCUACCUAUAAGACUGGGAUAACUUCUGGAAACCGGUGCUAAUACCGGAUAAUAUUUUUAACCGCAUGUUUCAAAAGUGAAAGACGGUCUUGCUGUCACUUAUAGAUGGAUCCGCGCUGCAUUAGCUAGUUGGUAAGGUAACGGCUUACCAAGGCAACGAUGCAUAGCCGACCUGAGAGGGGGAUCGGCCAAACUGGAACUGAGACACGGUCAAGACUCCUAAGGGAGGAAGAAGUAGGGAAUCUUCGGCAAAGGGCGAAAGCCGGACGGAGAAAAGCCGCGUGAGGGAUGAAGGUCUUCGGAUCGAAAAACUCUGUUAUUAGGGAAGAACAUAUGUGGAAGGAAAAGUGCACAACGUGACGGUACCUAAUCAGAAAGCCACGGCUAACUACGUG